This 611-nucleotide ribosomal RNA is filed under the name Agelas sp. KYAgtu01. RNAcentral describes it as "SSU rRNA". It matches the Rfam family "Eukaryotic small subunit ribosomal RNA", at positions 31 to 632 of the family's 1831-position model. The record is from RNAcentral. Lineage: Eukaryota; Metazoa; Porifera; Demospongiae; Agelasida; Agelasidae.
CUUGUCUCAAGACUAAGCCAUGCAUGUCUAAGUAUAAACGCUUCUAUACUGUGAAACUGCGAAUGGCUCAUUAAAUCAGUUAUAGUUUAUUUGAUGGUUCCUUACUACUUGGAUAACCGUAGUAAUUCUAGAGCUAAUACAUGCAGAAAGUCCCGACUUCUUGGAAGGGAUGUAUUUAUUAGAUCCAAAACCAGCGCGAGUUUCCUUCGGGGGCUCGGUUGCAUGGUGAUUCAUGAUAACUGCUCGAAUCGCAUGGCCUUGCGCCGGCGAUGAUCCAUUCAAAUUUCUGCCCUAUCAACUUUCGAUGGCAAGGUAGUGGCUUGCCAUGGUGACAACGGGUGACGGAGAAUUAGGGUUCGAUUCCGGAGAGGGAGCCUGAGAAACGGCUACCACAUCCAAGGAAGGCAGCAGGCGCGCAAAUUACCCAAUCCCGACUCGGGGAGGUAGUGACAAUAAAUAACAAUGCUGGGCUAUCGUAGUCUGGCAAUUGGAAUGAGUACAAUCUAAACCCCUUAACGAGGAACAAUUGGAGGGCAAGUCUGGUGCCAGCAGCCGCGGUAAUUCCAGCUCCAAUAGCGUAUAUUAAAGUUGUUGCAGUUAAAAAGCUCGUA